RNAcentral lists this long non-coding RNA (402 nucleotides) under Sorghum bicolor (sorghum). RNAcentral describes it as "long non-coding RNA (SBIC_LNC000244)". Lineage: Eukaryota; Viridiplantae; Streptophyta; Magnoliopsida; Poales; Poaceae. The record is from RNAcentral.
GACUACUUCGUCGGUGUCACUGCCUACUCCGAUGCUCCAUGUCUUGCCACUUGGGGACUUCAGACUGAUGACCUCAGAGAUGUGGCCGUUGAAGUUAUUUGCAAAUCUUGCAGGUAUGCUCUGCAGCAAAAUCAUGUUUUUAUUUGUUUUGUGACACAUUUCUUCCUUUCUUUACCGACUAAUCAUGCUUAAGUUAAGAUUGCAAUGGAAAUGCAUGAAGCUAAGCCUAUUGAGAUGUGAAUACUGAAAUUAGCAUAUGAUUUUCUGUACAGAAAUAAUACACCGUUAGUGAAGAACACAGCAAUAUUCCUCUGCGUAUACCAACAAGCAGGCCCAAAAUAACCCAGGGAAGUCGAUUCCUGUAGCACAUUCAAUCACAGAAGAUGGAGAGCAACGCAUGCA